Molecule: long non-coding RNA, 1105 nt
Organism: Lolium perenne
Lineage: Eukaryota; Viridiplantae; Streptophyta; Magnoliopsida; Poales; Poaceae
Source: RefSeq, a predicted model, not a curated record
UUCACAAACGAAAUUAAAUAAUAUAUACUUCCAAAGAGGAAAUAGUAGUAGUCUGAAAAUGAUAAUGUUGUUAACUGCUGGACUUUGAUAUGCUUGAUCUUAUGAUGAUAGUUCUGCCAAUGUAUUUGUUAGAAUUAGUUCAUUGUCUUACAUAUAGGUCUAUGCUGAGAGGACUAUUUCACAGACGAUGUCAUUGGUUGUAAAAAAAAGCAUGGACCUAGGUACAUGCACAUAGAUCCAAGGCUCCCAUGCGUUUUUUAUAGACUGGGAAUUCUUGUGAUUUCAUAAAGAAGUUCUCUGUCGUUUUUUACAUGAUGCCAAAAAUAUUAGGGAUUCAUCUUGAGAGAGAUCUGUUCCAGUAGUUGCCUAAUGUGAACCUGAAUGAGACCUCAAUAUAUUUAGCUGUUGUUAUCUCGGAACCAUCUAUAAGUACAUCUUUAAAUAUAUUUCCUAUUUUCGCUGCUUGUAUGUAUUGCAUUUAUUUGCUAAAUAAUUAGUGUCCUCUUUUGCUAGAUUUUUUUGUUUCGCUUCAUUAAUAAACGAUUUCUCAAGCAAGCCUUGUAUUUUCAGUUCUUUAAAGAGUAAUUGCUUGCUUAUUUGUUGACAAAAGGUGGGGAGAGGAACUUGAGCGACUCUUGGCACAUAUAUUAAAGAUUUGUUGCAUACAGUUUUAAGGUUGUUGGGGUUCUAACAAUUUGCAUGCUUCAGGCGAUGCUGAAGCCCAACCACAAGUACAUGACUCACGUGGCUGAGGAGGCAAAAUAUUGGCCAUCAUCAUGUUCUGCGCGUCAAUUCACCGUCCUUAUCCUGCUUAUGGGAGUCUUUCAGUGUGUAGAAGUCCUAUGGACAGUUUGGUGGACGCAAAUAGGAUACACGUAAUGAUUAUAAAUACUCGAAGAUUAUAGCUACUGUAAGCUUGACAGGAAAAAGGGUUGUGAGAAAACUCUGGUGCUCAUCUACUCGCUGACUAAUCACUGAUUUACAUUGAUAUGCUUAAUAUAGCAUUUUAGAAAUUAUGAAAGAUGGGUUCAUGCGAGAGAAGCUUUUUUGCCGUCAAACAUGUCUUCGUUCUCCUGAACAAUUACUAAAUUUAUUGUAUUUUGGA